GUGGGAGGGCCCUGGGAUGCAUCUCCCCGGGGUGCCCCAGCUUUCUCCCCACCCCCACCCCUGCCCCGUGAGCGUGGAGAUGCACGGACACUGGACACCAGACACCGUGCGAGCUGUUUACUGGUAGCGCUUUGCACCACCUCCUGGGCCUGAUGAGUCACUGGCCAUGCCAGGGAUGCAGGAAUGCUCAGGCCCCUCCCUAACCUGGUUGGCCAGCCGGGCCCUGGGCCUGGCUGGGCAGGUCCCCCAGCAGGCAAGCCCGAACAGCGCUUCCUGUUCCUGGCAGGAGACCACGGUCAGGUCCAAGGCAUCAGAAGCAGACGUGGCCCGGGGGGUGGUGCUGGGUGAGCCCCAGCGCCUGGUGAGACGCAGCUGCUGCCUGCGAGUGGGUUUGUGGGUUUGCCCCUUCCCGUGACCCGCUGAGCGUCGGAGGCCAGUGUUGUGAUGAGUUGUCAUAUUUUGAUGGGGCUUUAAACGACAGCUGCUUAUUUAGAAGGUGUUGCUUUGGAAUAUUUUUAAAGUUUAAACCUGAUUUAUAUAAGCAUGUAUUUCUUAAUGAUAUUUGAAUUAUAACCUAAUCGAUAGAACGAAUAUUCUUCAGGGGCCAAGACUACUUGAAAAAAAUUGUUACACAGACUUUUAAGAACAUUCCCGGGUUAAGUAAUUCAUUACUCGGAUUCCUACUGGUCGCCCGUGGUGAUGCCGACGUUUUGUACUUUGUUGGGUCUGUGACCGGGCAGUUCUUUGGUCCCCUGGCAGCAGUCAGAUCGCGUGCCUAGUUCCUGUUUCCCUGGACAGAAUGAGAGUCUUAAAGCGCCUGGCCGGGCAGGUAAAGAAGGCAGCGGGCCUGUGUGUCAGCCGCCUGCCACAGAGGAGCCCACGUGACCGAACGUGACCUGAAGCCUUUGAACCUCACGGUGCACAGCCGCCUGCUGUGGAGGGAAUGGCUGUCUUCUGAAAGCUCACGGCACCCCAGAGAAGAACCUUCCGGAAGGCCCCCCGCUGCCCAAGCAGCUAAGGCCUGCGCCGGGCUCGCUUCGUGUCAGACACGGGCCGGCCAGCAGGCGGGCAGGCGGGCAGGCGGGCAGGCGGGCAGGCGGGCAGGCGGCCCCUCUCCACCACCGGCGCCCAGCGGGGGAAACAUCUGUUUCCAUUCACCAAAGACCUACACACCGCGAAGCAGCAGGAAGAGAUGGGUGAGGGCGCCGCCUCCUCUAGAGGCGAGGAAGGACCCUGAGGAGGUGACACUCAGCUAAGACCAGAGGACACUGAGUCAGACCUGCCAGGGUGGAGGCACGCGCCCCAGGCAGAGGGGAGACCCUGCCCCGCCCUCCAAGGAGCUGGACGCGUUGCAGGAGCCGGAGGAUGGAUGUGCCUGAGCGCAACGUAGCCAAGACCAUGUGCGGGAUGAGUUUGAAGGGGCGGCCGGAUCAUAAGAACUUGGGAGCGAUGUUGGCAGAGGAGAAACACAGUGACAGAAGAAGGGAGAAGGAGAGAGAGAUAGAAACAUCAGUGAUAAGAGAGAAUCAUGGAUCGGCUGCCUCCUGCACGCCCCACCCUGGGGAUCUAGCUCGAAACCCAGGCUUGUACCCUUGCCUGGAAUUGAACCUGGGACCCUUCAGUCUGCAGGCCAAUGCUCUAUCCACUGAGCAACACCAGCCAGGGCAUCUUGUCCUUUUAAAUAGUUAAUAGCAGCGAGUGAUUUAGUAAAGAACCGACACGGCCCGCCAUCCGUUUGACAGGAGACAAACACUUGAGUCUGUGUGUUCGUCUUCUCUCAAUAGCUCCGUGAAAGGUAGAGGCCGGCACAAGGCAGGACACUGGGUCAAAUCCACUGCAGCAGCUGUAACUCGCAACUGUAACCUUCCUCCUCCGCAAAUGAGUUUAAAAGCAAGUUGUAAAAAUCAUGUUGGAAACUAAUGACCUGAAGAAAAUGCCAGCAUUUCUCCCAGGGAAUGGGUUUGGUCUAAGUACUUCCGCUUCUGAAACUGUAGCUCAGUGGUUGAGCGUGGACCUAGGAACCAGGAGGUCACGGUUCGAUUCCCGGUCAGGACACCGGCCCUGGUUGCGGCUGGAUCCCCAGUGUGGGGCGUGCAGGGGGCAGCCGAUCCAUGAUUCUCUCUCAUCAUGGAUGUUUCUCUGUCUCCCUCUCCCUUCCUCUCUGAAAUCAAUAAAAAUAUAUAUAUUUUAAAAACUGCACAGAAAGGCGGUUUUUGAGGGUCAAAGCUACAAAGGUUCAAGAUCUUAAGAUUGUUGAAAUCUCUACAGAAAACACUGGCCUUGUUUCAGGAACUAAAGGAACAAUAAAACCAGCCCAGAGAGAAGGAUGAGCGCUGGUCGCUAGAGAAGCUGAAAGGCAGCUACAGCUCCUGUGAGACCCGAUAGUUGCGGAGCGCUCGCCGCGCCAGAGAAGGUGGGAGGCCUGAGAGGUGGUAUUUUCCGCGGGCCCCGCCUUGUAGAACCUUGGCCGGUAAUCAAAUACGCUUGGACAAAGCUCCAC
This is a long non-coding RNA of Myotis daubentonii (Daubenton's bat), 2500 nucleotides long. RefSeq lists it as uncharacterized. The record is from RefSeq and is a predicted model, not a curated record. NCBI's taxonomy places the organism in Eukaryota, Metazoa, Chordata, Mammalia, Chiroptera, Vespertilionidae.